GGCCUACCAUGGUGGUAACGGGUAACGGGGAAUUAGGGUUCGAUUCCGGAGAGGGAGCCUGAGAAACGGCUACCACAUCCAAGGAAGGCAGCAGGCGCGCAAAUUACCCAAUCCCGACACGGGGAGGUAGUGACAAUAAAUAACAAUACGGGGCUCUUUCGGGUCUCGUAAUUGGAAUGAGUACAAUUUAAAUCCCUUAACGAGGAACAAUUGGAGGGCAAGUCUGGUGCCAGCAGCCGCGGUAAUUCCAGCUCCAAUAGCGUAUAUUAAAGUUGUUGCAGUUAAAAAGCUCGUAGUUGAAUUUCGGGAUUGACACAUCGGUCGUGCCUUAAGGGGUAUGAACUGGUGUAGUCAAUUUCUCACCUUCUGGAGAACCGCAAUGCCCUUAAUUGGGUGUCGCGGGAAACCAGGACCUUUACUUUGAAAAAAUUAGAGUGUUUAAAGCAGGCAUUUUGCUUGAAUACAUUAGCAUGGAAUAAUAAAAUAGGACGGCAUGAUUCUAUUUUGUUGGUUUCUAGGAUCACCGUAAUGAUUAAUAGGGAUAGUUGGGGGCAUUAGUAUUCAAUUGUCAGAGGUGAAAUUCUUGGAUUUAUUGAAGACUAACUACUGCGAAAGCAUUUGCCAAGGAUGUUUUCAUUAACCAAGAACGAAAGUUAGGGGAUCGAAGACGAUCAGAUACCGUCGUAGUCUUAACCAUAAACUAUGCCGACUAGGAAUCAGACGAUGUUUAUUUUUUAAUGACUCGUUUGGCACCUUACG
RNAcentral lists this ribosomal RNA (759 nucleotides) under uncultured Glomus. Its description in RNAcentral is "SSU rRNA". It matches the Rfam family "Eukaryotic small subunit ribosomal RNA", at positions 338 to 1092 of the family's 1831-position model. Lineage: Eukaryota; Fungi; Glomeromycota; Glomeromycetes; Glomerales; Glomeraceae. The record is from RNAcentral.